Molecule: long non-coding RNA, 1198 nt
Filed under: Podarcis muralis (Common wall lizard)
Lineage: Eukaryota; Metazoa; Chordata; Lepidosauria; Squamata; Lacertidae
Description: lncRNA (ENSPMRG00000015725.1)
Source: RNAcentral
UAUGUGGUUUUGGAAGGUAUUUUCAGAAGCAAAAGGUGGGAUUUGCCGAAUAAGCCUCAUCAGUUGAAGCCCUGUACGAGGACUUAUGCCUGUGUGAUAGGGUUUACAACCUCUCCUCCUCCUCCUGCACCCCCUGAAAUUGGCUUUGAGUGGGUUGUGAGAAUCCCUAAAACAGUUCUUCAAUGUAUUUUAAGGUCAAUACCCAAUGCAGAACUCCAAAGCAGAGAUCUUUUUGAUGUGGUGAAGAGACAAGCUACUGUUCAGUUAAAAUAGGCUAAGAGUAAGCGAGUCUCUUUGACAAUGGAAUUUUCUACAGUGAAACCGUUUUCUCUCUUGCAGUCUGAUAGCCUUUCUUUUGGAAUACAGCAGAAUGGUCAUUCACUGUAUGAGUUGUAAGCCAAGCAUCCCCCAGUUUAUGCCACACCUCAGCCAUGAAUUCAGUAAGUGGCCUUAAGCGAGCCAUCGCCUGAUCCUUACAUGGCUUGAUCACUUUCUAAGUGUUAUUCAAUAUUGUUAAAUAUCUAGCAUAUGUUAAGAAAGCCACUAAGAGCAUCAGAGUAGAUUUUUGUCAUCUUGCAGAAUGGAAGCCACGAGCACAAUUGUAUCUGCUACUCCUAACUGAAUGCCGAAUGAUUUCAAUGAAUAACAAAUAAAUUUUUGGACGGUUAGUAAGAUAUUCAUAGACAAAUUGCAAGCAAAGUGAUUAGAAGUACCGAAUUAUUCACUGCAAAUUACUUGCCCAACUCUUGUUAAUUAUCUGCAAGUAGCAAUUCCUGCUCUAUCAUUUGCAGUCUCCUAAAAGGGAAAUUAGAAUCCAAUGAAUGGGCAAGAGGGAAAGCCAGCAAGUUUAAAAGCCUCUCAAGAAAAUCAAGAUAUUAUGAAAUAAAUAACAGCCUAAAACAUUCAGAUAGCUUUGGCAAGGGCUUGGUUUCUAAGGUGUAAAGUUCCUGGAUAUGCCUUUUAAUAAUCUGUCAGUGGUAAUGUGUGUGUUCAUAUAAAAUAAUGAUUUAUUGAUGUUGUGUUGAAUAGUAUGGAACACUUUUUGCUACUUUGUUUUAUAGUUGACAUAUGAACUCCAUCUACUACCUUUGCCAUGAGUGUAUAUAUCUGAAUCAGUAGCGUAAAAAAGAUGGCACUGAAUCACAAUGUGCAUACAGUGGUGCCCCGCAAGACGAAUGCCUCACAAGACGGAAAACCC